GACGAACGCUGGCGGCGUGCUUAACACAUGCAAGUCGAACGCUGAAGCUCAGCUUGCUGGGUGGAUGAGUGGCGAACGGGUGAGUAACACGUGAGUAACCUGCCCUCUUCUUUGGGAUAACGCCCGGAAACGGGUGCUAAUACUGGAUAUUCACUGAUUCUCGCAUGGGGGUUGGUGGAAAGGUUUUUUCUGGUGGGGGAUGGGCUCGCGGCCUAUCAGCUUGUUGGUGGGGUGAUGGCCUACCAAGGCUUUGACGGGUAGCCGGCCUGAGAGGGUGACCGGUCACAUUGGGACUGGGCUACGGCCCAGACUCCUACGGGAGGCAGCAGUGGGGAAUAUUGCACAAUGGGCGAAAGCCUGAUGCAGCGACGCCGCGUGAGGGAUGGAGGCCUUCGGGUUGUAAACCUCUUUCGCUCAUGGUCAAGCCGCAGCUUUGGGUUGUGGUGAGGGUAGUGGGUAAAGAAGCGCCGGCUAACUACGUG
Molecule: ribosomal RNA, 482 nt
Filed under: uncultured bacterium
Lineage: Bacteria
Description: partial 16S ribosomal RNA
Rfam family: Bacterial small subunit ribosomal RNA
Source: RNAcentral